RNAcentral lists this ribosomal RNA (301 nucleotides) under uncultured bacterium. RNAcentral describes it as "partial 16S ribosomal RNA". It matches the Rfam family "Bacterial small subunit ribosomal RNA", at positions 509 to 807 of the family's 1533-position model. The record is from RNAcentral.
CAGCCGCCGCGGUAAUACAGAGGGUGCGAGCGUUAAUCGGAUUUACUGGGCGUAAAGCGUGCGUAGGCGGCUUUUUAAGUCGGAUGUGAAAUCCCUGAGCUUAACUUAGGAAUUGCAUUCGAUACUGGGAAGCUAGAGUAUGGGAGAGGAUGGUAGAAUUCCAGGUGUAGCGGUGAAAUGCGUAGAGAUCUGGAGGAAUACCGAUGGCGAAGGCAGCCAUCUGGCCUAAUACUGACGCUGAGGUACGAAAGCAUGGGGAGCAAACAGGAUUAGAUACCCGUGUAGUUCCUGUCUCUUAUAC